GACUGGUCUCAAACUCCUGACCUCAGGUGAUCCGCCUGCUUCAGCCUCCCAAAGUGCUGGGAUUAUAGGCGUGAGCCACCCCACCCGGCCUAGACAUUGUAUUUUUAUAUCACCUUUAACAACCUCAUGAUGCUUUUGUGUGUAUUAUGGGAUUGUAUUUAUGGCCUUGUCCCUGCAUUGUGGAUGUCAAGGGUCAGUUGCCACGUGCUUAGUCAUAUACCUAAACUCAGGGAACACACACACGCAUGCUUAUGGACUCACACACACUCACACUCUUACCCACACUCAUUCUAGCCACACUCACACUCAUAUAUACUCACCAAUACGCUCACACUCACACAUAUCCUUACACACCCACACUCACACAUACCCUUACACACUCACACACACCCUUACACACCCACACUCUCACACACACCUUUACACACCCACUCACACACAUACCCUUACACACCCCCACACACCCUUAUACACCCACACUCACACUCUAGCUACACCCACACUCAUAUAUAGUCACCAAUAUGCUCACACUCUCACACUCACAUGCUGUCGUGCUCGCUCACACUCAUACCGUUGCACACUCACAUGCUCUCACACACUCUCACGGUGAAAUCUGUGCCUGCCACCACACUCGGGUUGUGAUGUGUGUUUCACUUUUAGCUCCU
Molecule: long non-coding RNA, 665 nt
Filed under: Pan troglodytes (chimpanzee)
Lineage: Eukaryota; Metazoa; Chordata; Mammalia; Primates; Hominidae
Description: long non-coding RNA NONPTRT014879
Source: RNAcentral